This 1536-nucleotide long non-coding RNA is filed under the name Marmota monax (woodchuck). Lineage: Eukaryota; Metazoa; Chordata; Mammalia; Rodentia; Sciuridae. The record is from RNAcentral.
CUUCUUUGCUCUGGUGUCAAGGACAUAAGACUGGUUUCAGGACAAACACAGGAUAAAGUGAUGGGAGCCAGCCUCAGAUAAGUACUUCAAAAUACUCUACAUGAACUUGACCAACAGAUUUAAAGGGUAGCAUUCCAAGACAAAAAAGGCCCAGAGGCCACACCAAUGGAUGGACAGGAGUUUUCUUGAAAUCACCUGAUGUUUCCAAUUUAGCAUAGAUAAAAACCUUUGUGGUAUUAUGUUACUGACAUUUUGGGUUUUAUUUGUUAUGAUAGCAUCAGCUGUCUGCCUAAAAUAUAUUCUGACUGUUAAUCCAUGUAAGACCUACCAUGUUGUCUGGCACCUAAUUGCCACACAAAUAUUCUUUGAGAUGAAUGGAUUAAAGAAAGUUUUACUAAAUAUAUUUAUCAUAAUGUUAUAGCCUGAUUCCCAUUGCAGGCAUGGUCUAAAAAUAUAGUUUUUAAGUUAAAGAAGGUAGAUCAUAAGAGGAAUUUAGCAAAUAUUUGAUGAAUAAAAGAAGAUAAAAAUGAGAAAAUUUCACAGUCAACUCCUGGAAAGUUUUUUUUAAAAGAUUUUCAUUUUUAGAAUAAGGUACAAAAUUAAACAUGCUCAUUAAAAUGUUUUCAAAAAUGUUUGAGACAAAUAGAAAAUAUUUUUCCUAUUGUGCUACUGCUCUAAUAUAACUUAUUUAUAUUUUUGUGUGUUUUUCUUCUAUUCCAGUUUAUAAUAUAAAUGGAGUCACACAGAAGAUGUCUGGCCUACUGUUCCCAUAUUCUUACACAGUCUGCUUAACUAUAAUUUUUAAUGUUUGCAUCAAAAUCCAUUUAGAGGAUGAUUUAUUAAAUCUUUUUUCUCUCUUGAACAUUUAGGUUAUUUCCAAUUUUUGUUUUCAUUCAUGAUGCUUUGAUAGACCUGUUUGUUUAAGAAGAGCUUCUGUAUCUAGAAUAAUUUUCUUAAGGUAGAGUUGAAAAAGGCUUGGUAAUAAUCCCAAUAUCUCAGGCUGCAGUUCAAUUUUGUUCAACUCAGUUCAGGUGAGCCUUUGUAUUAGUUCAGGAGCCUUUUUUCCCAAUCCAAUGCUAAGCCUUGAAAUGGGUCUUUGAGCUUUAUCAUUUGUGUGAUACUCUAAAACACAUAUACUUGCCAUAAAAAUAUAUAAAAAGUUUUAUAUCAUCUCCCCAGAUACAGUAUCUUAUAUAAUGCUGUAACUGGCCAAACAUCAUACACACAUCACCUCCCCACACACCCACACACCUUUGGGCAUUAUGAGACAUGCAAACAUGUCUUGCUAGAAAAAUGAUGUAUGAGGGGAGAUCUCUCUUGAUCCUGAGACCUGAGACAGCUCAGCAAAUGCAGUUGCAAUAAGAUAUGAGACUAUCUUUAUCCUGGUAAUCUUUCUCUUUGGAAUAGGAAGAGAGAGCUGAGCCACAUCUUAUCCACUCCCAUGUCACCAAAUCAGUGGCAAAAUAGAAAUGAUUGCAUUGCCUCUUUGGAUUUUUUUGGAAUCUGAUGAGCUGCUAAUAAAGAUUUAACCUGUGG